Long non-coding RNA from Choloepus didactylus (southern two-toed sloth), 396 nucleotides. RefSeq lists it as uncharacterized. The transcript is spliced from 3 exons. The record is from RefSeq and is a predicted model, not a curated record. Lineage: Eukaryota; Metazoa; Chordata; Mammalia; Pilosa; Megalonychidae.
ACACCCUGGAUGGAAAAAGUGCGAGCUGGGCUUGAGUGACAGAGAAGCUAGCUGGUUUGGGGACAGUGGGCUUCAGAUUGUUAGGACUUGAACUUGAAAAUUGUGGUGAUCUUGAACAUCCAUUUCUCAAUCACAGAAGCACAAAAAGGUUCUUGAAAGCAAUGACAAAAAAGUUCAAGGAUGAACAGAAUUCUGUUGAAACUAUAAAGUUCAAGAGAAGUAGAGUGGGUUGUAGAUGGAGGCUGAGGGAUAAAGCAUAGGACAAUCGACAAUUGUGCGAUCUGCUCUGUGGGAAUAUGGCCGUGGCUGCUUGCGAUGGGCCCUGAUUUAUUUUGGCUGUAGAAGGACUGAUGCCACCAGCGACUUGCUGGCUCCAGGGGGCUGAAACCUUAUAAG